This 250-nucleotide ribosomal RNA is filed under the name uncultured bacterium. RNAcentral's name for it is "partial 16S ribosomal RNA". It matches the Rfam family "Bacterial small subunit ribosomal RNA", at positions 524 to 773 of the family's 1533-position model. The record is from RNAcentral.
UACGAAGGACCCGAGCGUUAUCCGGAUUUAUUGGGUUUAAAGGGUGCGUAGGCGGACUUUCAAGUCAGUGGUGAAAGCCCAUCGCUCAACGAUGGAAUUGCCAUUGAUACUGUUGGUCUUGAGUACGGUUGAAGUGGGCGGAAUGUGUCAUGUAGCGGUGAAAUGCUUAGAUAUGACACAGAACACCUAUUGCGAAGGCAGCUCGCUAAGCCGUAACUGACGCUGAGGCACGAAAGUGUGGGUAGCAAAC